This 485-nucleotide ribosomal RNA is filed under the name uncultured bacterium. RNAcentral describes it as "bacterial SSU rRNA". It matches the Rfam family "Bacterial small subunit ribosomal RNA", at positions 35 to 518 of the family's 1533-position model. The record is from RNAcentral.
GAACGGCUGGCGGCGUGCCUAACACAUGCAAGUCAACGGGACUCUUGGAUUGAGACUCGGUCAAAUGAAGCUGAGUUAGUGGCGGACGGGUGAGUAACGCGUGAGCAAUCUGCCUUUCAGAGGGGGACAACAGUUAGAAAUGACUGCUAAUACCGCAUAAAGUAUUCCGGCGGCAUCGCUGGGGGUACCAAAGAUUUAUCGCUGAGAGAUGAGCUCGCGUCCAAUUAGCUGGAUGGUGAGGUAACGGCCCACCAUGGCGACGAUUGGUAGCCGGACUGAGAGGUUGAACGGCCACAUUGGGACUGAGACACGGCCCAGACUCCUACGGGAGGCAGCAGUGGGGGAUAUUGCGCAAUGGGGGGAACCCUGACGCAAGCAACGCCGCGUGAAGGAAGAAGGUCUUCGGAUUGUAAACUUUUGUCUUGUGGGACGAUGAUGACGGUACCACAGGAGGAAGCCACGGCUAACUACGUGCCAGCAGCUGC